Molecule: ribosomal RNA, 363 nt
Filed under: Panulirus japonicus (Japanese spiny lobster)
Lineage: Eukaryota; Metazoa; Arthropoda; Malacostraca; Decapoda; Palinuridae
Description: partial 12S ribosomal RNA
Source: RNAcentral
UGUUACACUGGAAAAUAAUAGCGAAGGAUGGCUUGAGUAUUUAUAACUAAUUUGUUUGAAAUUCAAAGAACCUGGCGGUACUUUAGUCUGGUUAGAGGAACCUGUUGUAUAAACGAUAAACCACGUAGAAUCUCUCUUGUUCUUGUCAAGCCAGUAUACCUUCAUUGUUAGAUAAUUUUAUAUAUGAAUUAUUGUAAUUGAUAGAAAUCAAAUAUAUUAGAUCAAGGUGCUGCUUAUGAAUAAGUAUAAAUGGGUUACAAUAUUUUUAAAGAGGCUGAUUAUGUUGGGAAAUUGACAUAUGAGGAUGGAUUUAAUUGUAAAUUUUAGAUUUAAUAAGGUAAAAUGAUAAUAGCUCUAAAGUGU